RNAcentral lists this ribosomal RNA (552 nucleotides) under uncultured archaeon. Its description in RNAcentral is "bacterial SSU rRNA". It matches the Rfam family "Archaeal small subunit ribosomal RNA", at positions 325 to 879 of the family's 1478-position model. The record is from RNAcentral.
ACGGGGUGCAGCAGGCGCGAAAACUCCGCUAUGUGCGAAAGCACGACGGGGUCAUCUCGAGUGUCAGCCGAUGAGGUUGACUUUUCUUCGGUCCAAAAGGCCGGAGGAAUAAGGGGAGGGCAAGACUGGUGUCAGCCGCCGCGGUAAUACCAGCUCUCCGAGUGGUGUGGAUGGUUAUUGGGCUUAAAGCAUCCGUAGCCUGCUGAGCAAGUCCCCUGUUAAACCCAACGAUCUAAUCGUUGGUCUGCGGGGGAUACUGUUCGGCUAGGGGACGAGAGAGGCAGGCGGUAUUCCCGGGGUAGGGGUGAAAUCCUAUAAUCCCGAGAAGACCACCAGUGGCGAAGGCUGCCUGCUAGAACGGGUCUGACGGUGAGGGACGAAGCCCUGGGGAGCAAACGGGAUUAGAUACCCCGGUAGUCCAGGGUGUAAACGCUGCUCGCUUGAUGUUAGUCUGGCUCCGAGCCAGAUUAGUGUCGGAGAGAAGUUGUUAAGCAAGCUGCCUGGGAAGUACGAUCGCAAGACUGAAACUUAAAGGAAUUGGCGGGGGAGCAC